RNAcentral lists this unclassified non-coding RNA (160 nucleotides) under Arabidopsis thaliana (thale cress). Its description in RNAcentral is "partial MIR156c microRNA precursor transcript form 2". Lineage: Eukaryota; Viridiplantae; Streptophyta; Magnoliopsida; Brassicales; Brassicaceae. The record is from RNAcentral.
AAAAGCCUCAGAUCUAACUCCAACACCUUCAAAGUCUGCCUCCUUUCCAAUCUUCUUUCUUCUGUUCGAUCUCUAAUCUCAGAAUUUGUGUCGGUAAGGUAAAGGUGAUAAUGAGUGAUGACUGAUGAGGGAGUUUUGGGACAAAUUUUAAGAGAAACGC